This 431-nucleotide ribosomal RNA is filed under the name uncultured bacterium. Its description in RNAcentral is "bacterial SSU rRNA". It matches the Rfam family "Bacterial small subunit ribosomal RNA", at positions 28 to 455 of the family's 1533-position model. The record is from RNAcentral.
GACGAACGCUGGCGGCGUGCCUAACACAUGCAAGUCGAACGGGGUGUUGGAAGCUUGCUUCCGACACUUAGUGGCGAACGGGUGAGUAACGCGUGAGGAACCUGCCUUUCAGUGGGGGACAACAGUUGGAAACGACUGCUAAUACCGCAUAACAUAUUCGAGCGGCAUCGCUUGAAUAUCAAAGCUUUAUGUGCUGAAAGAUGGCCUCGCGUCUGAUUAGCUAGUUGGUGGGGUAACGGCCCACCAAGGCGACGAUCAGUAGCCGGUCUGAGAGGAUGAACGGCCACAUUGGGACUGAGAUACGGCCCAGACUCCUACGGGAGGCAGCAGUGGGGAAUAUUGGGCAAUGGGGGAAACCCUGACCCAGCAACGCCGCGUGAAGGAAGAAGGCCUUCGGGUUGGUAAACUUCUUUACCUAGGACGAAGAACGU